RNAcentral lists this long non-coding RNA (2847 nucleotides) under Citrus x clementina. RNAcentral's name for it is "Citrus clementina (C. clementina) long non-coding RNA (CCLE_LNC000183)". The record is from RNAcentral. Lineage: Eukaryota; Viridiplantae; Streptophyta; Magnoliopsida; Sapindales; Rutaceae.
AUGUAGAAAUACAAGAUAAAGUAAGAAUUAUACAAAAUGAAGUUAAAUUUUGGAUUUAGAGCUAUCAAAUUAGGCAGAUGAGAGUCCUCUAUUUAUAAAUACAAUAGAUAAAUCAUGAUCAUUAGAUGAAAACAAUUCGAACGCAUAAGAUUGCACUAUAUGGCACACUUUGAUUGGAUGGAACACAACAUCAGGGCUAUCAUUUCAUAUAUGAGCAUAUAUCGCAUGUGUGGCUUUCAAUCCAAUAAUCUGCCACCAAGUCACCAAUCAACAUGAGGUCAGUGGACAUUUGUUUCAGUGUGUGUAGGUCUACAAUAAGCUCAUAGAUCGAUCGAAUAAGAUGUCAACACAUCAUUGAUUAAUGAAAAGUCAAUUAGGCUCCACAAAAUCGGCAUGCAUUCUAGCACACUAGAUUUGAACCUUUGUAAAUCUUGUUUUAUACAAUCGGUGUCACUUUUAUCCUCGAUUUUUGUCGUUCCUUAGCUUUUAGGGCUUCUGGACCUGUUCAUGGUGUUGAUGCCGCCAUCUAGGACCCUGAACAUGAGUAAAAUUAUAAUUUUUCCUUUUAUACCAUUCUUAAGGUUUUUCAUUACUCUAAGGUUAAAAAUGUUGUCUCUUCUACGGUUUAAUUUCUUGUCAAUUAUGUGGUAGCGUUUACAUUUUAGAUUAGAGUGAGAAUCAUGAUGAGUAAGAUCCUGAGAUUGAGAAUGUAGAGUGAGAGACACUGAAAUGAGAGCAUAAAAUUAGAAUUAAAAUCUAAUUUAUGUCUUUAUUUUAUCUUGUAUUAGGAGUAAACAAUUUAAAAUUAUAAUUCCACUGCAAUAAAUUGCUACACUGAUAAGUGAAGUUCAUUUACAACACACCACCUCCAGAUCACUGCAACUUAACUUUCCACCCACACAGUAUCAUUUGCUGGAAAGGGUAAUUUUUAGAGACCUCCCUUGAGGUUUGGCGUAUUAACACUUAGAUAAAAAGUAUUCACGUAAUUACAGAGACAUCCCCUGACGUUAGUAUCCUGUUAACUUGACUGUUACUGAAAUGACAAAAAAUCAAAAAUGCCCUCGACUGCAAAAAUGCUCUGACAGGUACAGCUAGUGUAAUGUAAUUAGCUACAAUUUAGCAUUAAACAUCACAUUAGAGCACUAAAAAGUCUAAAAUAACCGUGAAAAGCAAAUCAUUAACAAUACAUAAUAAUAAUUAAAAAAAUAAAAUAUAAAUUAAGAGAAUUUAUACUAGCAAUGGCUAUAAAUACAGUCAUUAUCAGUUUCUCCCACUCCACAUUCUUCUUUGACUUUCUUCUCACAAUUUUUUCCUUCAUCAUUUAAUACAUCUCAAAUGCUUAAUAGUUAGUAAACUACUUUAAUAAGAUGAUAAACAAUCCAUAAUUCACUCUUCAAUGCAUUCAAAAUAGAAAGAUAACGAGUAAUUUAUGAAUCAUAAUGCUUUGCUUUACUUUUUGGCAGUGGCAGCUCCAAAUUCAAUAACAGUAAAUGAACAACGGUUCAUUCAUUACGAAUGUAAUUGUAAAGAUAGGAAUUUAUAAUUUCCAGAUAUUGGAAUUAGAAUAAUAUUCUUUAGCCAUUUACAUUGAAGCCAAAGAAUAAAAGAAAAAGUCUUCCUCUGAUAUUUCAAGUUUCAAGCCGCUAGCCAUAUUAAGAAGCCAGAUCAGAACGGAAGAACGAAUGCUACUGCCACAACAAAAGUCUGGACCAAUUGGGUAAUAGCUGCCAUGCCAAUUUCAUGACAAGCAAAAAUUAAUUAUCCUCCCCAGACUAAAACAUCAGCGAACCUACCUUUUGAAUAUAAAAUAAUAAGUAAAUAAAUCAAAGAUUUCAAUUCAUUUACAUUUGAAAUCAACUACAAUAGCAAAAAAAAAAUUCGUUCAAGAUAACUUAUCCAACAACUUCAACACAUUUUUUCAUUUUUAAUCAUUACAACAAUAAAUUAAAAAAAGAAAAAAAGAAAAGAAAAAGAGUUUAACAUCCAAGGGCUUUCUGCCAAACUAACCUUUUAUGGGUUCCAAUUCUAGUCAUUUAAGACUCUAGCCAUCGGCAAAAUUCGAUUGAUGGAACACUUGUGCCACCAUCGUAGCUUAUCGUGUUGAUGCUCAGGUUAAAAUUACUUGAAGGUGGCUGAGAUUCUAUAGUUACAAAAGCUUCUUGAGAGCCUUUCAAGCUUGAAAAUGGCUGAGUUUCGUUUAAUGAGAGGGAAAAUGGAGUUUUAGUUUAUCUCAUAUAAUAUGCAAUGUGGGUAAUUAAUUGAUUAUCAGUACCUGAAUCUGAGUCAUUGAUGCAACUUUGGGUUUUGUUUUGAAUUUCUUUCAUUUUUUUAUUUACGAAAUCACUAAAUUGGCUUGGGUUUAGUAGAUGAAAGAGAAGAUAUAUCAAAGUCAUUCUUAGAACCAAUGGAUGAUGAAGUGCUGCAGCGAUAAACUCUGACAGGUGGUUGCUUUUGAUUUUUUCAAUUUAAAAUAUCUUUUUAUGAAAUUACCCUCAUACAUUGAUAAGAUACCAAAUGGAAUACAAACGGCAUGGGAGAUUUUUGAAAUUACGGUCAUACUUUCUAUUUAAGUGUCAAUACGCUAAAACUCAGGGGAGGUCCCCAAAAAUUACCCUUGCUGGAAAUUUUGACACGCGGUUGUUGAGGGGGUCCGCUGUAAUACAGUGUUGUAUCUGAUGCAGCCGCUUAUUAUUAUUUUUUCCAUUCUACGGACGUAACCGGCCACCGAAAUCGAAACAGUCAAUUGUUAAAGGUAAUUAUGAUUCAGCUCACUCAUUUUUUAGUAAUUAUCAUUCAAACUAGAACACUUCCCAAAGACCACCUUAAUUAAAAUUGAAAAUACAUUUU